Molecule: ribosomal RNA, 508 nt
Filed under: uncultured bacterium
Lineage: Bacteria
Description: partial 16S ribosomal RNA
Rfam family: Bacterial small subunit ribosomal RNA
Source: RNAcentral
GACGAACGCUGGCGGCGUGCCUAAUACAUGCGAGUCGAACGCUUCUUUCCUCCCGAGUGCUUGCCCUCAAUUGGAAAGAGGAGUGGCGGACGGGUGAGUAACACGUGGGUAACCUACCCAUCAGAGGGGGAUAACACUUGGAAACAGGUGCUAAUACCGCAUAACAGUUUAUGCCGCAUGGCAUAAGAGUGAAAGGCGCUUUCGGGUGUCGCUGAUGGAUGGACCCGCGGUGCAUUAGCUAGUUGGUGAGGUAACGGCUCACCAAGGCCACGAUGCAUAGCCGACCUGAGAGGGUGAUCGGCCACACUGGGACUGAGACACGGCCCAGACUCCUACGGGAGGCAGCAGUAGGGAAUCUUCGGCAAUGGACGAAAGUCUGACCGAGCAACGCCGCGUGAGUGAAGAAGGUUUUCGGAUCGUAAAACUCUGUUGUUAGAGAAGAACAAGGACGUUAGUAACUGAACGUCCCCUGACGGUAUCUAACCAGAAAGCCACGGCUAACUACGUG